GUGGUGGCCAGAGAAUGAUCUUUGAGCCCUUCUGAAAGAAAUACAUAUUUCAUGCAGGCCUGUUCUACAUCAUUGUCGAGACUGGAUCAUGGUGAGAGAUGCUGCUGGAGAAAUGCUGGAGCAAUCUUUGCCAUGGAAAAAGUGAAACUGGCAGAUGCGAAGUGGCCAAACCAAACAAAUGCAGACCAAAUGCACACGAGUAUAUCUGAAGGAUACAGGUUGCUGUCUAAUGCUGAGGAUCAGCAUUCAGAUACUGGGGUUUUGCCACCUAAUUUGUGAGAGUUUCUUUGAGUAUUCUUGCAUAAUUCUUCCAUGGACACAGAAGUCCUCUGUUCCUGUGACUCCCCUACCAUGUCCCUAGGCCUUCAGGCUGGGUGAGCGCACUGCUGAAGCUGUGGUAGGACCUUUACCAUGUGACCUGCAGUGGUUGGUGUUGAUCAUUUCCCUCCAAGCACCCACUUUGUGUGACAUUCCCCAGCA
Molecule: long non-coding RNA, 480 nt
Filed under: Numida meleagris (helmeted guineafowl)
Lineage: Eukaryota; Metazoa; Chordata; Aves; Galliformes; Numididae
Description: lncRNA (ENSNMEG00000009433.1)
Source: RNAcentral